Molecule: ribosomal RNA, 253 nt
Filed under: uncultured bacterium
Lineage: Bacteria
Description: partial 16S ribosomal RNA
Rfam family: Bacterial small subunit ribosomal RNA
Source: RNAcentral
UACGGGGGGGGCAAGCGUUGUUCGGAAUUACUGGGCGUAAAGGGCUCGUAGGCGGCCAACUAAGUCAGACGUGAAAUCCCUCGGCUUAACCGGGGAACUGCAUCUGAUACUGGAUGGCUUGAGUUCGGGAGAGGGAUGCGGAAUUCCAGGUGUAGCGGUGAAAUGCGUAGAUAUCUGGAGGAACACCGGUGGCGAAGGCAGCAUCCUGGACCGACACUGACGCUGAGGAGCGAAAGCCAGGGGAGCAAACGGG